Molecule: unclassified non-coding RNA, 125 nt
Filed under: plant metagenome
Description: partial contains 5.8S ribosomal RNA, internal transcribed spacer 2, and large subunit ribosomal RNA
Source: RNAcentral
CUGCAGCAGGAGGCGCCCGGCGGUGCCGCCGGCCAUGACCAGCGUGUUGGCCGCCAAACGCGACCGCCGCAGCCGGCGGAGUGUUGCGCGGCCGGGAAUCUGUUCGGUGAGGCUGGUCAUGCGCC